CCUACGGGAGGCAGCAGUGAGGAAUAUUGGUCAAUGGACGCAAGUCUGAACCAGCCAUGCCGCGUUCAGGCAGACGGCCCUAUGAGUUGUAAACUUCUUUUAUACGAGGGUAAACGCAGAUACGCGUAUCUGUCUGAAAGUAGCGUACGAAUAAGGAUCGGCUAACUCCGUGCCAGCAGCCGCGGUAAUACGGAGGAUUCAAGCGUUAUCCGGAUUUAUUGGGUUUAAAGGGUGCGUAGGCGGUCGGAUAAGUUAGAGGUGAAAUCCCGAGGCUCAACUUCGGAAUUGCCUUUGAUACUGUUCGGCGAGAGAGUAGUUGAGGUAGGCGGAAUGUAUGGUGUAGCGGUGAAAUGCAUAGAGAUCAUACAGAACACCGAUUGCGAAGGCAGCUUACCAAACUACGACUGACGUUGAGGCACGAAAGCGUGGGGAGCAAACAGGAUUAGAUACCCCGGUAGUC
This 460-nucleotide ribosomal RNA is filed under the name uncultured bacterium. RNAcentral describes it as "partial 16S ribosomal RNA". It matches the Rfam family "Bacterial small subunit ribosomal RNA", at positions 338 to 795 of the family's 1533-position model. The record is from RNAcentral.